Molecule: ribosomal RNA, 853 nt
Filed under: Escherichia coli
Lineage: Bacteria; Pseudomonadati; Pseudomonadota; Gammaproteobacteria; Enterobacterales; Enterobacteriaceae
Description: partial 23S ribosomal RNA
Rfam family: Bacterial large subunit ribosomal RNA
Source: RNAcentral
UGUGAGCUCGAUGAGUAGGGCGGGACACGUGGUAUCCUGUCUGAAUAUGGGGGGACCAUCCUCCAAGGCUAAAUACUCCUGACUGACCGAUAGUGAACCAGUACCGUGAGGGAAAGGCGAAAAGAACCCCGGCGAGGGGAGUGAAAAAGAACCUGAAACCGUGUACGUACAAGCAGUGGGAGCCUCUUUUAUGGGGUGACUGCGUACCUUUUGUAUAAUGGGUCAGCGACUUAUAUUCUGUAGCAAGGUUAACCGAAUAGGGGAGCCGAAGGGAAACCGAGUCUUAACUGGGCGUUAAGUUGCAGGGUAUAGACCCGAAACCCGGUGAUCUAGCCAUGGGCAGGUUGAAGGUUGGGUAACACUAACUGGAGGACCGAACCGACUAAUGUUGAAAAAUUAGCGGAUGACUUGUGGCUGGGGGUGAAAGGCCAAUCAAACCGGGAGAUAGCUGGUUCUCCCCGAAAGCUAUUUAGGUAGCGCCUCGUGAAUUCAUCUCCGGGGGUAGAGCACUGUUUCGGCAAGGGGGUCAUCCCGACUUACCAACCCGAUGCAAACUGCGAAUACCGGAGAAUGUUAUCACGGGAGACACACGGCGGGUGCUAACGUCCGUCGUGAAGAGGGAAACAACCCAGACCGCCAGCUAAGGUCCCAAAGUCAUGGUUAAGUGGGAAACGAUGUGGGAAGGCCCAGACAGCCAGGAUGUUGGCUUAGAAGCAGCCAUCAUUUAAAGAAAGCGUAAUAGCUCACUGGUCGAGUCGGCCUGCGCGGAAGAUGUAACGGGGCUAAACCAUGCACCGAAGCUGCGGCAGCGACGCUUAUGCGUUGUUGGGUAGGGGAGCGUUCUGUAAGCCUG